Non-coding RNA from Salvelinus sp. IW2-2015, 160 nucleotides. NCBI's taxonomy places the organism in Eukaryota, Metazoa, Chordata, Actinopteri, Salmoniformes, Salmonidae. The record is from RefSeq and is a predicted model, not a curated record.
AGACAAUUAGGCAAAAAUUUCCACUUCUUACAACAAGAAGACUUGGGACCCGAGGUCAUUCAAAAUAUCAUUAUUACGGGAUUGGCAUCAAAGAGAGCAGUGCCUAUUAUAACUUGGUGUACUCAGGAAAAGGCUUGACGAGAUUUUCAGGGAGCAAACU